Erigeron canadensis is the source of this 367-nucleotide long non-coding RNA. RefSeq lists it as uncharacterized. The record is from RefSeq and is a predicted model, not a curated record. NCBI's taxonomy places the organism in Eukaryota, Viridiplantae, Streptophyta, Magnoliopsida, Asterales, Asteraceae. The transcript is spliced from 2 exons.
UUAUAACUUACACAUGUGUAAGCACCACCACCAUCAUGUCCGACCACAACUAUGAUUUUCUAGCGACGGCGGCCACCGCCAUCACGACUUACACAUGUGUAUGGAAGACUGGGCCAUCAGAGCAGCCAUAGCCAAAAAUUUAAGGCGAUGGCUGCCAACAACAGAAAAAAGUAGAAUAAGUUAUGAGAAAGGGUAGACCCAAGUUAGUAUUUUUUCCCCUCCAAACUCCCUUUAAUUUAUUGUAUAGUACAUUAGUACUAGUAUUACUUGGAAAAAGUAAUAUAUUGGUUUAUUUUAUAUAUUGUAUAGUAUUAUACUUGGAAAGAUCUGGGAAAUUGAGUAAUAUAUAUUGAUUUACUUUUAAUUA